Molecule: ribosomal RNA, 833 nt
Filed under: Nonomuraea sp. IM-2637
Lineage: Bacteria; Bacillati; Actinomycetota; Actinomycetes; Streptosporangiales; Streptosporangiaceae
Description: bacterial SSU rRNA
Rfam family: Bacterial small subunit ribosomal RNA
Source: RNAcentral
GGCGGCGUGCUUAACACAUGCAAGUCGAGCGGAAAGGCCCUUCGGGGGUACUCGAGCGGCGAACGGGUGAGUAACACGUGAGUAACCUGCCCCUGACUCUGGGAUAAGCCUGGGAAACUGGGUCUAAUACCGGAUAUGACCGCCUCCUGCAUGGGGUGGUGGUGGAAAGUUUUUUCGGUUGGGGAUGGGCUCGCGGCCUAUCAGCUUGUUGGUGGGGUAGUGGCCUACCAAGGCGACGACGGGUAGCCGGCCUGAGAGGGCGACCGGCCACACUGGGACUGAGACACGGCCCAGACUCCUACGGGAGGCAGCAGUGGGGAAUAUUGCGCAAUGGGCGGAAGCCUGAGCCAGCGACGCCGCGUGGGGGAUGACGGCCUUCGGGUUGUAAACCUCUUUCAGCAGGGACGAAGUUGACGUGUACCUGCAGAAGAAGCGCCGGCUAACUACGUGCCAGCAGCCGCGGUAAUACGUAGGGCGCAAGCGUUGUCCGGAAUUAUUGGGCGUAAAGAGCUCGUAGGUGGCUGGUCGCGUCUGCCGUGAAAGCCCGCAGCUUAACUGCGGGUCUGCGGUGGAUACGGGCCGGCUAGAGGUAGGUAGGGGCAAGUGGAAUUCCUGGUGUAGCGGUGAAAUGCGCAGAUAUCAGGAGGAACACCGGUGGCGAAGGCGGCUUGCUGGGCCUUACCUGACGCUGAGGAGCGAAAGCGUGGGGAGCGAACAGGAUUAGAUACCCUGGUAGUCCACGCUGUAAACGUUGGGCGCUAGGUGUGGGGAUCUUCCACGAGUUCCGUGCCGGAGCUAACGCAUUAAGCGCCCCGCCUGGGGAGUACGGCCGC